Molecule: long non-coding RNA, 557 nt
Filed under: Panax ginseng (ginseng)
Lineage: Eukaryota; Viridiplantae; Streptophyta; Magnoliopsida; Apiales; Araliaceae
Description: long non-coding RNA (PGIN_LNC011351)
Source: RNAcentral
AGUAUUGAAGGCAUGGAAUCACCUAAUUUUGCUUUAUUUGCUCUUUUUUCGCUCCUCCUGGUAAGUGUAAGUUCUAAAAAUUUAUAACAUACUUUUGCUUUAUGAUAUAUGUUUUACAAAUGAUGAUAAUUUUACACUUAUGGAUUUUUAAAUAAACAGAUUGGAAGCACUAUUGAUGCAAGAACUGAUCCAGAUGCGUACUGGAAAAGUGUUACUAAUGCUGAGGCAAUGCCAGAAGCAAUUCAGAGCCUUAUAAACAAGGGUGAUUUAGUAUCUCCUUUUUCCAUCAAGAAAGCUAGCAAUGCUGAAGAGAAGCAUUUGACCAAAGCCCAUGAAUCAGAAAAUUUGCUAUUUCCCGUCUACGCCGACCACAAGGAUAAACCAGCCCAUGAAUCAGAAAAUUUGCUAUUUCUCAUCUACGCCGACCACAAGGAUAAACCAGUCCAUGAAUCAGAAAAUUUGCUAUUUCCCAUCUACGCCGACCACAAGGAUAAACCAGCCCAUGAAUCAGAAAGUGUAAUAGUCGAAAUAUAGCGUUCAACAAAAGACCCAAUAAG